Molecule: transfer-messenger RNA, 267 nt
Filed under: Staphylococcus simulans
Lineage: Bacteria; Bacillati; Bacillota; Bacilli; Caryophanales; Staphylococcaceae
Description: partial transfer-messenger RNA
Rfam family: transfer-messenger RNA
About the family: Bacterial tmRNA, also known as 10Sa RNA or SsrA, is named for its dual tRNA and mRNA-like properties. Its role is to liberate the mRNA from a stalled ribosome.
Source: RNAcentral
GGGGGCGUUUUUGGAUUCGACAGGGGUUCCAUGAGCUAGUUAAGCGUGUCGGAGGGUUGUCUCCGUCACCAACACACACAGUUAUAAUAACUGGCAAAGAAAACAAUAAUUUCGCAGUAGCUGCGUAAUAGCACUCUGCAUCGCCUAACGGUAUCUCCUAUGUACCGUUAACGCGAUUCAACCUAUAGUAGGAUACGCUAGGCACUGCCGUUUGAAGUCUGCCUAGAAGAGAUGAAUCAAACUAGCAUAAUGACGGAUGUCUAUCAC